This 497-nucleotide ribosomal RNA is filed under the name uncultured bacterium. RNAcentral describes it as "partial 16S ribosomal RNA". It matches the Rfam family "Bacterial small subunit ribosomal RNA", at positions 28 to 507 of the family's 1533-position model. The record is from RNAcentral.
GAUGAACGCUGGCGGCGGGCCUAAUACAUGCAAGUCGAGCGAAAAGACGAGGAGGUUGCUCCUUUGACGUUAGCGGCGGACGGGUGAGUGACACGUGGAGAACAUACCUAUAAGACGGGGAAAACUUCGGGAAAACGGUACUAAUUACGGCAAAUAGAUUCAAGCGCAUGGUGGAAUAGUGAAAGGCGGCUUUGCAGUCACUUUUAGCAGGUGCCACGACGCAUUAGCUAGUGGGUAAGGUAACGGCUUACCAAGGCAACGAUGCGUAGCCGACCUGAGAGGGUGAUCAGCCACACUGGAACUGAGACACGGUCCAGACUCCUACGGGAGGCAGCAGUAGGGAAUCUUCCGCAAUGGGCGCAAGCCUGAUGGAGCCACGCCGCGUGAGUGAUGAAGGUCUUCGGAUCGUAAAACUCUGUUAUUAGGGAAGAACAAAUGUGUAAGUAACUAUGCACGUCUUGACGGUACCUAAUCAGAAAGCCACGGCUAACUACGUG